This 253-nucleotide ribosomal RNA is filed under the name uncultured bacterium. RNAcentral's name for it is "partial 16S ribosomal RNA". It matches the Rfam family "Bacterial small subunit ribosomal RNA", at positions 524 to 776 of the family's 1533-position model. The record is from RNAcentral.
UACGAGUGCCCCAAGCGUUAUCCGGAAUCAUUGGGCGUAAAGGGUGUGUAGGCGGCACUGUUAGUCUGCAGUCAAAACCCCCGGCUUAACCGGGGAUCCGCUGUGGAAACGGCAGUGCUCGAGGAUGCGAGGGGUGAAUGGAACUCAUGGAGUGGGGGUGAAAUCCGUUGAUAUCAUGGGGAACACCAAAAGCGAAGGCAAUUCACUGGCGCACUCCUGACGCUGAAACACGAAAGCGUAGGUAGCGAAUGGG